Long non-coding RNA from Rhineura floridana, 1381 nucleotides. RefSeq lists it as uncharacterized. The record is from RefSeq and is a predicted model, not a curated record. NCBI's taxonomy places the organism in Eukaryota, Metazoa, Chordata, Lepidosauria, Squamata, Rhineuridae. The transcript is spliced from 3 exons.
CACCUGCACUUGGCUGACUUUCUCUUCUCCUAAAGAUACAGGAUCAGUCUCAGGCCAGGAACCUGGCAACCCUAGUCUGAAUACUAAAGAACUUGGAAUCCUCAAAAUGCAAAGAAUCCAGCGCUAGUUUCUUCCACAGACGAGAGGCAACAUCCAACAUACCCAAGAUUACAACCAAGGAUAAAGCUACAGGAUCCCUCUGGAACUUGAUCCCUGUGCAUCUUGGAUCCCAUAUUUCUGACCUACUUGAAUGGACAGCACACUCCCUAACCAUUCACAUCCUAGAGCCUGUCCUUACUGUGGCCUGACAGUGACCUCUACUGACUAAGGGCGAUGAUGGAUAAGAGUGAGAUUUCACAGGAGGACUUUUUUUUUAUCCUCCAAGUGAUGAAACCACUUCUUCCCCAAAGCUGCUUUGCAAGGAUCCUCAAUAAAGCAGAUGCUGAUGAUGAAGAGGACUGUAUAUGUUUGUGUGGACAUGAAAGAACAAAUAAUGUGGAUCCCUCUACAGAGGGGAGAGAAAGAAUGACAAAGGGACAGUAGGCACAUCUUGCACUGAAUGAGAGAGGGAAAGAAUACACUUUGCCAGGGUGUGCAGGAAGAGAUUUCGUUUAUGGAGAGAGAAAGAUGUAUCUGCUGGAUGCAUUUCAGGAGGCAAUUUAGAAAGAACACUAUUUCACCACCUACAUUUUGGAGGGAGCACCUAUAAGGUUAUAUUUCAUUUAGUCAUUUAAACAUUUUUAUAAGCUAGAUGAUCAACAAAGUCUUCAGCCUCACAAACAAGCCCAUAUAAACUACUACCCUACAAGAAUAUUUACUGGCUCACCUGCCCACACAUGCUUAAUUGCAGAGCUUGGAAAAGUUACUUUUUUUGAACUACAACUCCCAUCAGCCCAAUCCAGUGGCCAUGCUGGCUGGGGCUGAUGGGAGUUGUAGUUUAAAAAAGUAACUUUUCCAAGCUCUGCUUAAUUGUGACUUAAGAUCAAUUGACACACAAGAUUUGCUCAGUCAAGGGAAUGGCAGAUAGUUCAGACUUCUGUGCUGUACAGCAUGACUACAAAACCUACUUAAAUGAAAAGAACAACGAUCAACCAUGUUCUCAACCAUUUCUUCAGUUGUGGAAGAAAAGCUAAAUUAUGGAUAGUCUUGGCCAUCAUCAGUCUUGAAGAAUAACUGCCUGUGUCUAUUUGUGCAUUGUAGAACUAUAUGGAAGUUAUGCUGAGCAAAUAAUAAUGCAGAACUUAAGGUUACUGUGUAAGCCUCUAAGCAAUUACUUGUAUCUCUCUGUUCUCUUUCUUAGUUUUGUGUUCAUUUUAAUGUAAUAUUCAUUAUUUAAUAAUAUCUAAGAACCCACUUCUCUUCCUGAAUGUCUGAAAAACAA